RNAcentral lists this unclassified non-coding RNA (372 nucleotides) under uncultured Gammaproteobacteria bacterium. RNAcentral describes it as "contains 16S-23S intergenic spacer region". Lineage: Bacteria; Pseudomonadati; Pseudomonadota; Gammaproteobacteria. The record is from RNAcentral.
UCCGGUUUGUCACCGGCAGUCUCAAUAGAGUGCCCUUGCGUAGCAACUAUUGAUAAGGGUUGCGCUCGUUGCGGGACUUAACCCAACAUCUCACGACACGAGCUGACGACGGCCAUGCAGCACCUGUGUUCUGGCUCUCUUUCGAGCACUCCCAAAUCUCUUCGGGAUUCCAGACAUGUCAAGGGUAGGUAAGGUUUUUCGCGUUGCAUCGAAUUAAACCACAUCAUCCACCGCUUGUGCGGGUCCCCGUCAAUUCCUUUGAGUUUUAAUCUUGCGACCGUACUCCCCAGGCGGAAUGCUUAAAGCGUUAGCUGCGCCACUAGUGAGUAAACCCACUAACGGCUGGCAUUCAUCGUUUACGGCGUGGACUAC